Long non-coding RNA from Rattus norvegicus (Norway rat), 628 nucleotides. RefSeq lists it as uncharacterized. The record is from RefSeq and is a predicted model, not a curated record. Lineage: Eukaryota; Metazoa; Chordata; Mammalia; Rodentia; Muridae.
AGUCUGUUGAUUUCUAGGCUAAAGAGUUUAAGACAACACAGCCUAAAACUUUUGGUCUAUAAGAACAUAUUUAAUAUUCUAUUCCUUUAAGGACAACCAUUUAGCAAACAUUCAUUGAUUAUCUAUUAUGUGCUAAGAUGCCAUGAAUACAAUAACCAUGAAGAGGGACCUCUUCUGAAUCCAUUCAGAAGAUAAAAAUGCAAGCCAAUGAUUAGAGACAGCACUUUGGUGACAGACUCCAGAAGGGACCUUCAUUGUCUAGAAGGACUCAUCCACCUAGAGGAACUGGUGCCUUACUGUCCAGGUUUUGAAGAUUCCUUAUAGAAUAAAAGGAGCACAAUGCUAAAUUCUAAUCAGAACUUCAUAACACUCCUAUUUGGCUGUUCUACCAAUGAGAAAUGGCACACAUAUUUUCACAGUUCAAAGUGAAAAUGUUUAUGAUGAUCACUACACCCCAGGGAUAUAAGCAUGUGAUAUGACAGGAAAAGCCACAGGGUGCACCCUAAUACACACCACAAACUCAAACAUGGGAGGUGUGUUCCUACAUAAAAUGUUUGCAUUUGCAGAGCUUCCUCCAGGAUUGCUUUUCUGGGCAUAGCCACAUGAGUAAAUUGUUCAUCUCCUUUAA